UGUGCAUAUAUUUCCAAUCGUUUAUUUCGCCUUCAUUACCCAUUUACACACGGUUUACAGGACAGGACUCUUAUGUUGAAGGAUUUUUCCCCCAAAUGACGUCACCCGGAAGUUAUUGCUAGGUGGCGUCAAGUAGUUUUCCACCGAUAUUCUCAUCCAAACAAACAAUUAUUUCAGGUAUCUAGGAAAUUCGUUUAAAUGUGUUUUACAUUUUCAUUUUGAACUUUAAUGAGUUAUUUAAAUAACGCAUGUCUCAGACAAACUCUUGAGUCUUUUGGAGUGCGUGUUAUCUUAGCUUGUAAGCUAGCUAACGUUACACUAGCCAUUGUCUUGGGUUGGAAAGUGACUACAGCUUAAAUAGCCCACCAUGUCUGAACCGAGUUCUGGCUGUGGCAUUCCAGUCCAGAGAAGCUCACAGCCUGGUCCAGAGACUGUGUCAGUAAAGCUGGAGGACUGCGUCUCAGUGAAGCUGGAGGACUGCAGUCAAACACUGGAACUCAAUGUGAUUGUCAAAAAGGAGGCGAAGGGAGAUGUUAAAGAAGAACAGAGCGAAAUCAAAGAAGAUAAGGAAGAGGGGGAGAAGAGAGAGGUCCAAGUAGAAGAGGAGAGAAAUGCUGAUAUGUCUCUUCCAGGAGAGAGCUCCAACUCAGGCUCACUCAGCGAGCCCAGUACCACAGUAUCAGGAAACCACCGACAACAUAGAGGGAGGAACUCAAGACAGAAACAUCACCACUGCAUGGACUGCUUCACUAGUUUCUAUGAGCCAGAGGAGUUGAGAAAACACACUUGUAAAGACCGCAGCCACAGUGCAACAUGUCCUCCCAAACGGAAAAAGACUUCCAGCUCCUUCUCACCAAUCCUCCCACCAGUCCUCCCACAAUUUUCUUUCAUCAUCGUGUCAGCUAACGGGGAUCCUAGUAAACAUAAAGAUAUAUGUGAUGAGAGCUUGAACCAGGCCAGAAAACCAACAUCAAUCAGUAACCAUGUGGAUUUUCUCCUUACUAACCGUUACACUUUGUCGCAGGAGGAGAAACUCCAGAUAAAAAGUCUCGGUCCCCACCAGCCACCUGAUGUAGAAAUAACACUUCCCCAACACAGAACAAAGGGAAAGGACCCGACCCGUUCAUUCAACCCCUCGUGGUUCCAUAAGAAAUCGUGGCUGACAGCUAGCGUCUCCAAAAAAGCGCUUUACUGCUUCCCUUGCCUUUUAUUCGGCAAAGAGGGCACUUGGUCAACGGUGGGUUUCAAGGAUCUGAAGCACCUCUCCGAAAGGAUUUCGAAACAUGAGAGUUGUUGUACUCAUCUGGAAAACGGCAUGAAACUGGGAUUUCUAGGGAAGACUAACACCGCUGGUCAGCUGGUCAGCGUAAACCCAAGCUCCAUUGAGAUACACAACAGACAAACAGAGGAGAACAGGUACGUGCUGGGUAGAAUGGUCAAAUGCUACGUGCUGUGUGGGAGACACAUGGCUGCCACGUGGCGGAGCGGCCGGGUCGAGUCGGACUCUCUAAACACAUCCAUGUUUAAGUGCAUCUUUGAGACGAUGUGCGAGGGAGACUCGAGACUCCAGAGGCAUUACGACGCUCACGGCUUCUUUAAGCACCCAAGAGGCUAUGUACAAAACAAACUGUUUGACUGUAUGCACGAGGUGUACAAAGAGGCGAUUACCAAGGAGGUGUGGGCGGCUAGCUUCGUAGCGGUGCAGGUGGACGGCAUGCCGUGGACAGGGGAGGUCUCCUCUAGGGUGACAUUACCCCUAGCUACAGAUCUAGGAUCAGCGUCUCCAAUCCCAACCUUGACCAUUAGUGUGGAAAAUGCCAUACUGGCCCAAGAUCAGCUUCUUGGACUAACAAUCUACUCCUGUACGCCACAGCAGGUCUCUGUCGUGCUACGGUACAUGCUUCCAGACAAUACCGUCACAGAGAGGUUUUGGGAGUUUGUGGACCUAAAGGAUAAAACGGCCGCCGGUCUCACCAACGCAGUCAAGGACUCGCUGGAACCACUGAAACUGGAGCACAAGCUGAUCGCUCAGACGUACGACGGGGUCGCGGCGGCAGCAGCAGUGGACGGGGCCGACGUACGCGACCUGGAAACUCACCUGAAACGCACCUAUCCCAACGCUAACUUUGUGCACUGUUACGCUCACCCGCUACGUGUCACACUCCAGCAGAUCUGCUCGGCGACAGCGACCCAACUCAAAGUGUUUUUUGCGGAUUUGUCUUUGUUCGAGACCUUCUUCAAAGAUCAGCCAAAGAGAGCUACAGCUGCAGGGUGGAACUGUGAGCGAGAAACAGUCAGUGUGGUUUGGGAGAAUCGCGUUGCUCUUCAGAAGUGUGUGGAGGAUAUUAGGACACAGCCGGUGUGGGACCAGGACUCUAUCAGAGAGGCUUAUGGCCUGUCAGCCAAACUCAGGGACCCCACGUUCCUACAACUGCUGGAAUUAUUCUAUUUGGUCAUGCAAGAGGUGGAUGUUCUCACUGUCAAUAUACUCAAAAGGGACAUUGUCGUGGCGGACAUCGAACAGGCAGUUGAUAGUUUCGAGAAGUACGUUCAGGCCCAACAGGGGAGAGCUGAGGCCACAGCACACGUAGGCCCCAUGUCGGACAACGACAAGAGAGACACAAAGAGAACUGCCGCGGUCAUGAGGAAGGCAUGUGACAUCAUCGUCACACAUGUGCAUCACAGGUUUUCUCAAAGUAGUGACCAUUUAAUCGCAGCCAAACUGGUGAAUCCCACGCUCUUCUCUAAGUUCGUAGGCUGUUUCCCGUGCUCAGCCCUACAGUGUGCUGCCAAGCUAUGGCCGGUGGUUAACACUGGGAAGCUGAAAGAUGAAUUGACCUCUCUGUACCAACACACGGAGCUCCACAGGGGUACAACAGCGCUGUCUUUACUGAAAACAAUCAGCGAACUCAACCUCCAGGAUGUUUUGUCAGAGACGGUCUCUCUUCUCAAAAUCAUCAUCACCACUCCCAUGCAGACCGCCGAGUCUGAUAGAAGGUUCCCCACUCUGAAAAGAAUCCAGGCGUUGCCGUGUUCUCGGAACACCUCGGGAUCCGCGGUCGCUUGGCAACAGAACAAUGGCAGGCUAAAUGCACUGUCCAUGCUCUCUGUCGAGAAGGACUUCAUUCAAGGACUCAGGUCAGACUUUCACGACAAGGUCGUCGAUAAGUUUGUCCGAAAUAAAACCUGCCCUGGAGCCUUCCUGUUUAAAUGAGCAGUACAGCAUCUGAGAAAAAUCUGAGAAGGCUUGGGCUGUGUCUGUAUAUAGUAUAUACUGGGGGCUGUGUCUGUAUAUAGUAUAUACCGGGGCUGAGUGUCCCAAAUGGUGCACAAUUCCCUCUGUAGUGCACUACAUUUGACCAUGGGCCCUAUUCUGUAGUGCACUACAUUUGACCAUGGGCCUUAUGGGCUAUUCUAUUGAAUACAAAAUAAGUCCAUAGACUCCAGUAGAAUUCAGUUGUAAUUUUUUUUUUUUAUACAGAAUUCAAAUCAGUAGAAGGGCUGGUUUGUAUUGACAUUAGAGGUCUUUACGGGUCCAGAUAUCAGCCAAGUUGCUCUUCUGGUUAAUUAAUAGGUCUUUAUGUUGGCUAGGCCUUCUAUAAGUCAAUCAUUUCACCUGAUUAGCGUAAAAUAUAUAUGCUAUAGACUAUGCAGAGCCGUGGUCGGGUCUAUCAGCUGUAGUUACGUAGACCCGAGAUCCGAUGACAAGCAGGACCCACCCUGAACCGAGGGACAAGUUAGAAUUUCAGACCAGAACGGCCUGGGUCUCGGGUAUAUGAAGACCUCUAAUUGACAUCCAAAGUUAACGAUAUGAGUGUGUUGUAAUGUUAUGAUCUGCUUGUAAACUGUGUAAAAUGUUGUCAACUAUCCUUCAACUGAAUUAUAAAUACAAACAGGUCCAACUGUCUGUGUGGCUCCUCUUCUUCAUUGAAAGUGUAUUAUGUUGGUAGAUUGUCUUUAUCCGAUGACAAGUCAGUAUAGUAACAUUAUGAUAAUAAAGGAUAACAGAUGUUAUACACUGUUGAAAUAAUAUAACAUCACACUGCUGAUAUAAAUAUAAUGUAAUGAUAGCUGUCAUGUUUUGGUUGAGAAAUCUACACUGAACAAAACUACAAAUGCAACAUGUAAAGUGUUGGUCCCAUGAUUCAUGAGCUGAAAUAAAAGAUUCCCAAAAUGUUUCAUUAGCACAAAAAUCGUAUUUCUCAAAAAUGUUGUGCACAAAUGUGUUUACAUCCCUUUUAGGGAACAUUUCUCCUUUGCCAAGAUAAUCCAUCCAACUGACAGGUGUGGCAUAUCAAGAAGCUGAUUAAAC
Molecule: long non-coding RNA, 4312 nt
Filed under: Salmo trutta (river trout)
Lineage: Eukaryota; Metazoa; Chordata; Actinopteri; Salmoniformes; Salmonidae
Description: lncRNA (ENSSTUG00000023605.1)
Source: RNAcentral